This is a long non-coding RNA of Homo sapiens (human), 1338 nucleotides long. RefSeq lists it as uncharacterized. NCBI's taxonomy places the organism in Eukaryota, Metazoa, Chordata, Mammalia, Primates, Hominidae. The record is from RefSeq and is a predicted model, not a curated record. The transcript has 3 exons.
GUUCCAGAGAAUUCUCAACCGUCCCCCUCUCUCCCCCCGGGACAGCGUCUCUAUUCCAACCUGGCACGGACGCCAGGAGCUCGCGCUACGAGUCAUUUUAAAAAGAAAACACAAUUUACGUGUGAAAGUCGAGACGAGAAAGCUCGCGGGUGCCCGUUAGGAUUUGUGGGGUGAGACGGGAGAAUUCACACCAGUCCCAGCUGCCCUCCAGGGAAACAGAACCCACGAACGUGUCACGUCUGCGUUUAUCGAUAACCGCGUGUGCGCGGAGGGGCUGUGCUCAGUGUCCCGCGUGAGGCUCCCGGGAGAGCUCCCUCCCCUUCCGCGUCUGGCUCUGGGAGGGCCCUGGGCGGCCAAUCAGGAUCCCCAUUGCCUUCGCCGAAGUGCUGUGUCCGGUGCAGGCCUGUGACCCACGUGGCCUCCAACAGGGUCCCUGUUUAUCGCGCUGUCGUGGUCGUGGGGUUUGAGGAAGAAAGCCCAGCGCUGGCGCCAUUUGGUCUCCCAUCCAAGUUCUAACCGGGUCCGACCCUGCUUAGCUUCCGAGAUCAGAUGAGCUCGUAGGCGUUCGGGGGGCAUGGCCGUAGACUUUGGCCACUUGGUACCACGGUGGGCUGAGGGGCUGCGGGUGGGAAGGCGAUUUGAGGAGCACAUUUGCAGGCAGCAGACUGUGGCUUCCAGAACCGACUGUGCCCGAGGAUAAGGCCUGAACUUCAACAACCUGCAAGUGGGUUGAGCAACCCGUUUCACCGUUGAGGAGACAGAGCGCUGGCCCAGCCUGGACCCGGAGCUGAGGUUCCUGUUUCCUGGCUCACCUGGAGGCUCCUGCAGUUGGCCAGAUGAGACCCUGACGUGGAAACAAAUCUCUCGGGCACAGGCACACUUCAGGGCUUUAAAGAGGUGCAUUCACCUGUUGAAGAUGGUGGUCCAGGCAGGAAAAGAGCAGGGGCUGCUGCUGACUUGUUCCCCAGGAGCACAGGAGAGGAGGCUUCGAGACCCACAUGUGUCCUGUGGCUGCUCCACCCACACCGGGGUCUGACCCCAGCGGAUCAGCAGAGAGAGCGGCCCAGAGCAGGAGGCCCAGCCCAGGGCAGCUGGGGUCUGCAGGGCUCCCCUCCAGAGGCCGCACCUCAGACCUUGGCAGCAGCCCCCAGCUCUGUGGAUCCUCCAGGAGAUUUUCCCAAGCUCCAGCCCCAACCCUUUAAUUCACACUGGGAAGAGCCUCAAAGAACCCGGCAGGGACGGAGCUCCCCCGACCCUCUGGGCAAAGAUCAACUUGGUUAAAAGGGCCUCCAGCUGAAACCCAUCUCCUGGGGAAAUGUAUUAAAACAGAAACUCUGC